Molecule: ribosomal RNA, 477 nt
Filed under: uncultured bacterium
Lineage: Bacteria
Description: bacterial SSU rRNA
Rfam family: Bacterial small subunit ribosomal RNA
Source: RNAcentral
ACGACGCUGGCGGCGUGCCUAACACAUGCAAGUCGAGCGAGGAGAUUCCCUUCGGGGAUGAACCUAGCGGCGGACGGGUGAGUAACACGUGGGCAACCUGCCUUAUAGAGGGGAAUAGCCUUCCGAAAGGAAGAUUAAUACCGCAUAACAUUACAUUUUUCGCAUGAAGAAGUAAUUAAAGGAGUAAUCCGCUAUAAGAUGGGCCCGCGGCGCAUUAGCUAGUUGGUGAGGUAACGGCUCACCAAGGCGACGAUGCGUAGCCGACCUGAGAGGGUGAUCGGCCACAUUGGGACUGAGACACGGCCCAGACUCCUACGGGAGGCAGCAGUGGGGAAUAUUGGGCAAUGGGCGAAAGCCUGACCCAGCGACGCCGCGUGAGGGAAGAAGGUCUUCGGAUUGUAAACCUUAGUUAUCGGGGAAGAAGCAAGUGACGGUACCCGAAGAGAAAGCCACGGCUAACUACGUGCCAGCCGCCGC